Molecule: long non-coding RNA, 313 nt
Organism: Mastomys coucha (southern multimammate mouse)
Lineage: Eukaryota; Metazoa; Chordata; Mammalia; Rodentia; Muridae
Exons: 2
Source: RefSeq, a predicted model, not a curated record
CAGACACGUCCCGGGCUUUUGCUGUGUCAGCCCAUCUCUGAAGAGGUAACCCUAAAAUCACUCAGAGUUCCCAGUUGCUCCGGGACACAAUCUUCACAUUGAGAUCCUGGGUUGCUGAUCAGAAUGGAAAGCUGAGCUGAGAUGAGGGACGAGGCAAUGUCACAUGCUGAUGGAUGGGAUGUACUUCAACUAGACAGCCAGCCGAGCCAGCAAGUCUCCACUGCUUCAGGCUACACCGAGUCAGAGCAAUAAUCAGGCCCACAGUGCAGACGAGCUGAGAUGUGUAAUAAAGGAAAGUAAACGGCCGCAGAAA